AGAGUUUGAUCCUGGCUCAGAGUGAACGCUGGCGGCAGGCCUAACACAUGCAAGUCGAGCGGCAGCGCGUCCGACCACCCUCGGGUGGUCGGAUGGCGGCGAGCGGCGGACGGGUGAGGAAUGCAUCGGAAUCUGCCUCGUUGUGGGGGAUAACGUAGGGAAACUUACGCUAAUACCGCAUACGACCUACGGGUGAAAGUGGGGGACCUUCGGGCCUCACGCGAUGAGAUGAGCCGAUGCCGGAUUAGCUAGUUGGCGGGGUAAAGGCCCACCAAGGCGACGAUCCGUAGCUGGUCUGAGAGGAUGAUCAGCCACACUGGAACUGAGACACGGUCCAGACUCCUACGGGAGGCAGCAGUGGGGAAUAUUGGACAAUGGGGGCAACCCUGAUCCAGCCAUGCCGCGUGUGUGAAGAAGGCCUUCGGGUUGUAAAGCACUUUUGUUGGGGAAGAAACCGGCCGGGUUAAUACCCUGGUUGAAUGACGGUACCCAAAGAAUAAGCACCGGCUAACUCCGUGCCAGCAGCCGCGGUAAUAC
RNAcentral lists this ribosomal RNA (537 nucleotides) under uncultured bacterium. RNAcentral describes it as "bacterial SSU rRNA". It matches the Rfam family "Bacterial small subunit ribosomal RNA", at positions 8 to 526 of the family's 1533-position model. The record is from RNAcentral.